UACGGAGGGAGCUAGCGUUAUUCGGAAUUACUGGGCGUAAAGCGCACGUAGGCGGCUUUGUAAGUUAGAGGUGAAAGCCCGGAGCUCAACUCCGGAACUGCCUUUAAGACUGCAUCGCUUGAAUCCAGGAGAGGUGAGUGGAAUUCCGAGUGUAGAGGUGAAAUUCGUAGAUAUUCGGAAGAACACCAGUGGCGAAGGCGGCUCACUGGACUGGUAUUGACGCUGAGGUGCGAAAGCGUGGGGGGAGCAAACAGGAUUAGAUACCCUGGUAGUCCACGCCGUAAACGAUGAUAACUAGCUGUUGGGGCUCUUAGAGCUUCAGUGGCGCAGCUAACGCAUUAAGUUAUCCGCCUGGGGAUACGGUGCAAGGUUAAACUCAAA
RNAcentral lists this ribosomal RNA (381 nucleotides) under uncultured bacterium. Its description in RNAcentral is "bacterial SSU rRNA". It matches the Rfam family "Bacterial small subunit ribosomal RNA", at positions 524 to 905 of the family's 1533-position model. The record is from RNAcentral.